CGUCAACUCACACGGCCUUCCUCGUGCAGAUACACGUUAAAAACUGUAAAUGUCACCAGUAUUUAAUACAGAACAAAGCCUGCAAAAUAUCCUUGCACACAUCCACAGGAAUCUUAACUCAUACCUACACAGACGAGGGUGAACUGUCUUGUUCUGUUUGUGUUUGUAGCAUUUGCAGUCAGACUGUCCUUGUUAAUGCAGCGGGCCGACUCAGGACAGCGCUGUGAAGUGUUCCGUGUUCAAGAGCAAAGUCGGAAGAGAAUGGAGCAAGGUAUUGAUAAGACGAAACGAAAGGAGAUUUACGGAAGGGAAGAGGGCUCGUGUUUCACAUACAGUGCGAGAGAAAUCGGCGACUUCACUUCUAAACUCUUCACCGUCUUGCAGAAACCUGCUCUGAGCCCAAAUUAGCUUCCAGUCCACUCGGUAUGAAGGCUGCUUACCUGGCGAGUAAGAAGGCUGCAGCGUGAAGAAUCUGUUCAUCUCGAGCUGCUGACGGAACAUGACAGCAGAAGAAGGCAGCAGGUGCGAGGGGUAAAUGUCCGCGGGCUGUUGUCGCUGCAGCCCAGACCUGGAGCAGCCAGGCAGCGUAUCAGCAGGUGGAGAGGGC
This is a non-coding RNA of Zootermopsis nevadensis, 607 nucleotides long. NCBI's taxonomy places the organism in Eukaryota, Metazoa, Arthropoda, Insecta, Blattodea, Termopsidae. The record is from RefSeq and is a predicted model, not a curated record.